AACGUAGGGGCCAAGCGUUGUCCGGAUUUAUUGGGCGUAAAGAGCUCGUAGGCGGUUUGUCGCGUCUGCCGUGAAAGUCCGGGGCUCAACUCCGGAUCUGCGGUGGGUACGGGCAGACUAGAGUGAUGUAGGGGAGACUGGAAUUCCUGGUGUAGCGGUGAAAUGCGCAGAUAUCAGGAGGAACACCGAUGGCGAAGGCAGGUCUCUGGGCAUUAACUGACGCUGAGGAGCGAAAGCAUGGGGAGCGAACAGG
This 253-nucleotide ribosomal RNA is filed under the name uncultured bacterium. RNAcentral describes it as "partial 16S ribosomal RNA". It matches the Rfam family "Bacterial small subunit ribosomal RNA", at positions 524 to 776 of the family's 1533-position model. The record is from RNAcentral.